Molecule: ribosomal RNA, 253 nt
Filed under: uncultured bacterium
Lineage: Bacteria
Description: partial 16S ribosomal RNA
Rfam family: Bacterial small subunit ribosomal RNA
Source: RNAcentral
UACGAAGGGGGCUAGCGUUGGUCGGAAUUACUGGGCGUAAAGGGCGCGUAGGCGGAUAGUUCAGUUGGGGGGGAAAGCCCGGGGCUCAACCUCGGAACUGCCUUCAAUACUGGCUAUCUUGAGUACGGGAGAGGUGUGUGGAACUCCGAGUGUAGAGGUGAAAUUCGUAGAUAUUCGGAAGAACACCAGUGGCGAAGGCGACACACUGGCCCGUUACUGACGCUGAGGCGCGAAAGCGUGGGGAGCAAACAGG